AAAAUUUUCAGAAAAAUGUGCAUUGUGGCACCCAAGGACCUCACCAUUCAAUAUGACACAUCAGCAACAAUAAGCAAAAAAUUUGGUGAUGGCGAAAAUUUCAUAAAUUUUAAAAUUUGGGGACUGUAUUUUUGGAUUUGGAAAUGUGGGAAGCAAAAUCUUACAUAAAUUAGCAAAAAGAAGGGGACCAAAAGUUUAUUUAAGCAAACAAAUAAAGAAGGUAAUAGAAGGAUAAAAUGUCGGUGCCUUCUAUUUUCAGUCUAAAAGACAAAAGUUACAUCAUAGUUUGGGUGGGUUAAGCAAUCUUUUCGAUGUUAACAUUAUAGCAAGUUAAAACAAACUCUACUUUUUUGUCUGAAUUUUCUAUAUGAACUCAACUUCCCUGUUUUACAUAUAUGAGGAAACAAAGGAAAGCUAAUUUAGUAGUUCAAUUGUAAAAAACAUUUCUAUUUCCUUCCUCUUUUGUAUUUAUAGGGCAACAAAUCCAGAAUCAUAAAUUAUGGGUAUCUCGAAGACGCUUCUUAUAGUAGCAAAAACCCAGACCAUUAGCUAUCAAGAAGUUAGUCAAGUAAGUUCUAUUUCCUGUCCUGUUUCUUAGUCCAGGUUUUAAGGGUCAUUUACUGUUAUAUAUUCUUACUUUGUACUUAUUCGUGGCAAUCUACUAGUGCAUAACUUGUAAAGAUUGUAGAGGAAGAAACAGAAAACCUAGAAAAUUCAUAUAGUCCUGCCAAAUGCUACAUCCGCAAAUAUGUUCUUUUCUUUUUUUUGGAGAGGAAAUAUGUUCUUAAUUACAUGAAAUAUGUUAAUGUUUAUGUAAUUAAUUAAUUUAACUCAUGAUGCAACCGACUUGAUGCUUUCAUGAUUAUGAAUUGUGAAGAACUAAUUGAAUGAAGAUUCUGUUUCUUUUCUUGUUUGUUGCAAUUUCUUCAUUAUACAAUUUAUACACAUGAGUUGGAUUAGAUAUACUGAUUUAGAUGCAUUUGAUAGAAUAUUAUCGACACGUACUAAUUUGCAACAAUGUAUAGGUAAACCGUAAACCUGUACUAUUGGUAUACUUUUCAAUCCUUUGUUAUUUGAACCAAAACACAAGAUAUCCACUACAUUUACAAAAAUGUGAAAACUGCAUUUGCACUUCCUAAUAAUUCACUCUUUGCUCAUUCAUUCUUGUGCAUCUAAGCUUUGUUGAUCCACACAUCAUACUUCUCAAUCAAGAAUUCACAUAAAGAUGUUUAUCAAAGAAUACUGUAGGAAAACAAACCAGUCUUUUUAACAGUUGAUUCCGCAUAGCUUGGUAUCAGGUCCCUUAGUUUUCAUCACGAAUGGGUCAAUUCUUACCCAUAACAAAGAGAAAAUGGAAGCCAACAACACUGACCAUAUCACAACAAUGGUGGGGGUGCGGUUUUGCCGACCCAUCAAACCUUUAAGGAAUGGAUAUAGAUGGACAAUCACCCAGAAGGAAAAGAAGAGUUUUCCAAAUAGAGGUCCCCAUGAUUGGUAACCAUUGUUUAUGGCGUCUGAGAUUCCAGCAACAACCCCAACAAUAUUGAUUAUUAAGAUAGUCGUUGGAGGAAUUAGGAGAGUGGUCCACUUGAUGGCGUACAAUUCUCCAAAUUCCUCAUCAUCUGUUGCCUUGGAUGUAACAGUGAAGUUUGUGUCAAUUCCAGCAAGAACUUUCAGAAGCCCUUGUAUGACAGCAAAGAGAUGUGCUGAUACACCACCAAUGACCCAGAAUUGCUCAUUUCUCCACCAUUCCUCAAUGCUGACUCCACUCCAUUUCAACUCAAGAAUGCCCGUUGCCAUGAUUGAAGAGAAGAGAGCAACAAAGUACAAACUAGCAAAAGUGCUUAUCUGAAGAAUGAACAAUUAAAAAAAAAAUUGAGUAAAAAGGCUUGGCAUGAAUUCUCUGAGCAUCCUUGAACAAUGAUGCCUAGCAUUUCUAGCUGUUAUGGAUUUAAAAGUUGAAUUCCUACUACAUACAUAAAAAGAUCGUGAUCAUUCUUGUGCUUUUGAAGGUAAUAUAAUGAAAUAUUGUAAUGUUUGUCAAAAAAUUAUAAUUUCAAAAGCUCGUCGUGUCUUAACUCAUUUUCUAACAGGAAGAUAAAAGAAUAAAAAUGUUACCGGUGGCAUGAUGAAUUUGUCAGUGAGUAAGCAGACAGCUGGAAGAAUACAGUAGGCAACUAGAGGUAUGGAGGUGAAGGGGUACACGGUUGUGUUUGCAUAGGCAAAUCGCUCCAGCCACUUCAGCUUCCCUUCCUUGUGGCCAUACCAUAAAGGGCAAUGAUGACUGAAGAAGAUCUCAAUGGAGCCAAGAGCCCAACGAAGCACCUGGUUGAGUCUAUCUGACAAGUUGAUAGGAGCAGUACCCUUGAAUGCUACUCUCUUUGGCAUACAGUAAAUGGAUCUCCAACCACGGCAAUGCAUCUUAAAGCCUGUUAAAAUAUCCUCUGUAAUAGAUCCAUAAAUCCAACCAAGCUGCAAUUUGGAAAACAAAAUAAUGGAUGAGCUGAUUUUCUUAUUGUGAACAACUAUUGUAAAAUAUCAAUUGAGAGCCUAGGCUGCCAAUGUUGGUGUUACCUCAAUCCCCCAUUCAGUUUUAUCUUCAUAUCCGCAACUGAUUACAUGAAUGGCUUCUUUAAGUUGGCUUGCUGGACUUGACGAAGGAGGUACACCACCCUCUUCCAUCAAGACUGAAGUCACAAAAAUCGAUGACUGCCCAAAUUUCUUCUCAAAAUUCAUCUGGGACAUCAGUAACUCUUUGUCAUCUUCCAUUCCUAUAUGGACAUGUGACAGAGAUUAGAACAGGUGAACAUGAAAUCAAUUUGUAUAAGGAUUUAGUAUCAAGAUUGCUGACUAUUUGUAAAAUUAGAACCUCUUAGGCCUGCAGCUUCUCCAUUUGCGUCGUUCAUUGCAUGCUUAACCUUCUUGCGCCUUCCAAAACAUGGGCAGCAAUCACAACUUACCAUUUUUGGACGCUUGGGACCCUUAGGAGGAUUAUAUCCAUAUAAAGCCUGCCUUCUAAAAACACACCCUGUGCCGACAUACACAGGACCCUGAAUACCAUCUAGACCCUUCAUGUUAAUCUGCCAUGACAGAAACAAGAGGAAUUGGUAAUAUAUAUUAGCUUGCACUACUACAAAAACAUCAAUUGCUUCAAAGAAGAUCAUGUCGUGUUGAUGUUGACUUUCUUGCAGUGACUUACAUCAAAGAAAACUGUGUUCCUAUUAGCAUAUCGAUCAUGCGCAUCAAUGCCAUCGAAUCUUUGAGGAAACUGGACAUAGCAGACUUUCUUCCCUGUUUGGGGGUCCAUCAAGAAGCACAUGGCCUCUCGGACAGCCUUGCUGUUAUUGAUAUAAUGAUCACAAUCCAAGUUCAGCAUAAAAGGAGCAUUUGUAAGCACUGCAGAGACCCGUACCUGGAAGUUACAUAAAUUAUUAGAUGAGUCAAGUAAGUGUGGUUCAGAAAGGUGAAUGGACAUCAUAAAAAUAACAAAAUCUGUUUGUUCAAGUAACUCUACCAGAGCAUUCAUGGCACCGGCUUUCUUGUGGUGUUGAAAUCCUGGCCUUUUCUCUCUAGAUACAUAAACAAGGCGAGGAAGCUGGUUUCCUUCACUAUCAUGACCUCCACUGUGACCAAGAAAGACUUGAAUCAUACCAGGAUGAUCCUUAGUAUUGUUUCCUGGCCAUGGUGUCCCAUCCUGCAUAAUCCACCCUCCUGCAGGAACCUUCUGAGCUUUUGCCACAAGUGCAUUGAUCCUAACCUUAAACUCUUCAUAUUCUCUCUGCCAUGCAUCCAAUUAAUAGUCGGUGAGUAAGCUUUAAACUGAUUUCAGAACUUCAUUUUUUUUCAACAAUUCUAAUAGAUUAAUACAAACCUUCAUGGACCGACGUUCUUUGACAAAAGUUGGCUGCACCUUGUCCUUUAGAUAGUCAAUUUUCUCAGAGAAGUACAUCUCUGGUGCACGAGGUUCUAUCAAAAAUUUCUUACAAAAUGGUACCCACUUCCUAGCAAACUCUGCCGUUUCCGACAGGGCUUCAAAUGUACACAUUGAAGCUCCGUCAUCAGAAAUGUAGCAUGAUAUCUUAUCAAUGGGGUAGUCCAUUGCCAAGAUUGAAAGAACUGUGUUGGCUGUAUUCAGAGGAGGUUCCUUCAAGGGAUCCACAGUACUAACAAACACAUCUACAGGAGCAAGCAUAUUGGGUUCGCCUUCACGCUCAUACCUGAUAAACAACUUUCUUUGUUCAGAGAUAUAAAUAUUUAAACACUGGUAUUUCAACAAUCAGGAGGGAAGGUCCCUUUACCUGAGUGAAAGACGGUCAAGGUAUGUUUCUCUAUCAAUAGGAUACCAUUUGGGGAACUGAUCAAGGAUCCAUGAUAUAGCAAACCAGAUUUCACAUAUAAUUGAAGUUAGCCAUAGCCCCAUUGCAUCAUGUACUGGAUUCAUAAGUCUGUAUCGGAGGAAGAAGCCAAGAAUAACAAGCCGUGCCACGAUCACCAUCCUAUAUGGAUUGAUUUUGCUAGAUGCUAUUGGUACCUUCCUUGACAGUGGUUGUCUUGCUUCAUCUGACCUGCAUCGGUUCACAUUGUAUAGUAGUAACUAACAUUAAUAUUAAUUAUGAUCUUUCAAAUAUUACUAUCAUUUCAUUAGAAUUAAAUUGUCAGGAAAUGCAUUUAGUACUGAAAAGCAUACAUGUUUGCAUCUAGAUCUUCAUCAGGUUCAGGUCCCAAAUUUCCUUGCUGCAAUUUCCAGUCAUCCAUUCUAUCAUAUGAUCCAUCUUCUCUCCUUUCAUCCCACCCUGCACUUCCUGUUUUUAUCACAGCAUGCCACAUAUUAUAAUCAUAUCCACCAUGUUGUAGUAAGCUAAGAAAAGCAUUUCAGGGUUGUAUUUUAAUCAGUGCCAAAAGAAAGGCCUGUAUAACUAGUAUAAGAUUUGGACUUUAGCAAGAAAUUAAACCAAUUUUGGCAUAAUCCGUUUUGCAAAUGAACCAAGAAAGUGAUAAAUCUAUAAACUACAUCUUACGAGAAUCAGAAGCGGAAUAUGGAUGCACUCUUUUAUGCAGUGAAGAUAGCAUCUGCUCCCCAUAACUAUGAGAUGAUAUUGGGAACUCACCACUCACCUGCAUGCAUGUAAAAAGCAAAUUUAGUUGUAUUGAAUUACAAGUUCUAUCGAGUUUAAGAUGGACUAGAAAUGGUGAAAUUCUUACAUUCCGAGAGCGACCACCAGCAAUAACAGCUGGGAAGUGUGCAUUUUCAUCAUCUUCAGGACCUCUUCCAUAGCUCAUCUUCCCAUGCAGCAUGGCCUCAGCAGAAUGAUCAUGAUUGUUCAUUUUGUCUUCAAUUUUGAAUUCAUGUUCAAUAUCGUCCACAUCCUCCUCAUCAUCGUCUCCCUCAACCCGAGGGCUCCCUAAACAUCAUUAGUUAUAUGCAUUUGAGUUAAUCGAUCAAAUUAAUAUCACAGUCAUCUAAAACUGUAUCAUGUAAGGUUCAUGUUUUAACAAGUUUAAUGCAUGUAAACAAAGGCUAAAAAUAACUUGUUCAGUAUAUAAUUCUACCUUUGAGACGCUUGUAUCUGGUCUUGCACUGAGGACAAAGUUGUCUCCCCUCCCUUCUUUCAUACUCAUAGCAAGGCCGGCACACCGGAAAACCACACUCGUUACAUGCCACAAACAAAUCUCCAUCCACAGUAAGUCCAACAUCAUCACCACAUAUCUCGCACACUUGACCGUCCAAGUUCUUCAAUGGCUUGUGCUGCACCAAAACAACACAACAAAACUAUCAACAUAAAAACAAACAAACAAAUAUCUCUAGCCACUCACUUGUGGUUAUAAGUUUAUUAUUACCUCUUCAUGGCCAUGAAUGACAACAAGCUCGUUCCGGUUGUGAGAACCAGCGACUAGUCCGGCGCUGGCUUCCAUAUCUUGUUGGUGACAGGUGAAAAUGGCACAAUGAGGUGGUGAGGUUGAGAACAAGUUAGUGUUUUAUGUAUGAAAAUUUUGGUGCUUUGAAAGACUUAGGUGUCCUCACACCUAAUAUGUGUCCACAUAAGUGUUGCUGGUGUUGGUUGCAGGGUCCCCAUUGCCUUGAAGCUAAGCUUUCUUCCUUUUUAUUCAACAACCAUCUCCUUCUAUGCCAUCUCCAACAACGACUAAUUCCUUUUUUGGUUUCUUCUAUUUAUUUUUCUAUCUUUCAAAAUUGUAUUACUAUAGGCGCAAAAAGAGACAAGGUUGGUUUUUGAAUAUUAUUUCCUUUUGCAUAGUUAUUUUAUGGUUGUUAACACAUCAAAAUAAAUAUUGCAAGCAAGCGAAACAAGUAAGCAAUGGAGUGUCAGAGUGCCAAACCAAACGUAUUGAUUACAUGACUAUUAACGUGAAAGGGAAUAAUUUUUGUACCAGAUAUAUAUCAAAAUGUCACCAUACAUCAAGUAAUAAUUUUUUUAAGAAAAACACCUUAUCAAAAAAUCAUAAUUAAAAAGUACGAUAAAUUUUAUAAAAAUUAUUUGAACAUUAUUUUGAUGUUUUCAUUGGUUAUUUUUUUUUGUGUGAAUUGAGUAUCUUUUGCAUACAACUAGACUAUUCACUCAAGGCGACAAGAUCUGCAAUGAGUG
This 6602-nucleotide long non-coding RNA is filed under the name Medicago truncatula (barrel medic). Its description in RNAcentral is "long non-coding RNA (MTRU_LNC002633)". Lineage: Eukaryota; Viridiplantae; Streptophyta; Magnoliopsida; Fabales; Fabaceae. The record is from RNAcentral.